AUACGAAGGGGGCUAGCGUUGUUCGGAAUUACGGGGCGUAAAGCGCGCGUAGGCGGACUGAUCAGUUGGGGGUGAAAUCCCAGGGCUUAACCCUGGAACUGCCUCCAAUACUGUCAGUCUUGAGUUCGGGAGAGGUGAGUGGAAUUCCUAGUGUAGAGGUGAAAUUCGUAGAUAUUAGGAAGAACACCAGUGGCGAAGGCGGCUCACUGGCCCGAUACUGACGCUGAGGCGCGAAAGCGUGGGGAGCAAACAGGAUUAGAAACCCUAGUAGUCC
RNAcentral lists this ribosomal RNA (274 nucleotides) under uncultured bacterium. RNAcentral describes it as "partial 16S ribosomal RNA". It matches the Rfam family "Bacterial small subunit ribosomal RNA", at positions 523 to 796 of the family's 1533-position model. The record is from RNAcentral.